This 204-nucleotide long non-coding RNA is filed under the name Musa acuminata (dwarf banana). RNAcentral's name for it is "long non-coding RNA (MACU_LNC004050)". Lineage: Eukaryota; Viridiplantae; Streptophyta; Magnoliopsida; Zingiberales; Musaceae. The record is from RNAcentral.
UAAAAUUGAGCAUGGAGUGUUCGAACAGUGAUAUCCUUGCAAAUGCAUCAGUCGGAAUGAGAGUACGCCUGCACAUGAUGAGAACUGUUUCGCAUGGUAAGCAACAGCUCGCUCCUCUUCUGUUAACUUCAUCAUGAGAUGCACACACAAGAGUGGUGUCACCAUCACGGUGGGUAGUUCACAGAUCUGAAUCAAAAAAAAAAA